AACGAACGCUGGCGGCAUGCCUAACACAUGCAAGUCGAACGAGACCUUCGGGUCUAGUUGCGCUCGGGUGCGUAACGCGUCGGAACCUUCCCUUAGGUUUCGAAUAACUCCCCUUCAUGGGUGCUAAUACCGGAUAAUUUCUUCUGACCAAAGAUUUAUCGCCUUUGGUUGGGCCGGCGUUGUAUUAGCUUGUUGGUAGGGUAAAAGCCUACCACGGCGACGAUCCAUAGCUGGUCUGAGAGGAUGAGCAGCCACACUGGGACUGAGAAACGGACGAGAAUAGUAGGGAAGGGAGCAAAGGGGAAUAUAGGAAAAUGGGGGAAAGGAAGAAGGAGCAAGGGCGGGAAAGUGAUGAAGGAGGUAGGGAAGUAAAGCAGUUUAACACGGGAUGAUAAUGACAGUACCGGGAGAAUAAGCACCGGCUAACUCCGUG
This 433-nucleotide ribosomal RNA is filed under the name uncultured bacterium. RNAcentral describes it as "partial 16S ribosomal RNA". It matches the Rfam family "Bacterial small subunit ribosomal RNA", at positions 29 to 507 of the family's 1533-position model. The record is from RNAcentral.